RNAcentral lists this long non-coding RNA (575 nucleotides) under Calidris pugnax (ruff). Its description in RNAcentral is "lncRNA (ENSCPUG00000011755.1)". Lineage: Eukaryota; Metazoa; Chordata; Aves; Charadriiformes; Scolopacidae. The record is from RNAcentral.
UGACCAGGAAUUACUGCAAUGAAAAAUCAAGUGUCACUGGGAAUCAAGCCCUGCCUGCAGUAGGUGAGCCUAAACAAGGAUUACAAACUACUAGGGAAGGCUUCCCACAACUCUAGUGCUUUAAGCUCCUUUUGGAAGCAUUUAACCUCAUUUCAUUCCCUUUGCUUUCUACCCACUGAAUGUUUUCCUUUUCUCUCUGGUAUUUCUAUACCACUGCAGUCAACUAGUCAAACAUGAGGAACUCAGACAUGAAAUGUGACCAGCCCAGAUUUAUUUGUCCAUGAAUUUGUUGAACAGCUGUCUCUCCUGACAUCGAUCUGGAAGUGCAGUUCUGCCAUACAACCACACAAGGAAACGUACAGGAUGCUUAGUUUCACAGGCCUCCCUGAGAAGCACAUAGAUAACCCGUAAACAUGAGGCACCGUGUUGGCUCUGACCUACAUCAGCGGAAGACUGGGCAGCAGCAGAGGUGGCUCCUGGGAUCCUGCUGUCUGAGGCAUUCCCAAGAUCUGGCUCCACCCAGCCGUCUAAUCCUUGCAGACAGCCUGGCUGAAGUUCUACAAACCCAACAUGGC